This 253-nucleotide ribosomal RNA is filed under the name uncultured bacterium. RNAcentral describes it as "partial 16S ribosomal RNA". It matches the Rfam family "Bacterial small subunit ribosomal RNA", at positions 524 to 776 of the family's 1533-position model. The record is from RNAcentral.
GACAGAGGGUGCAAACGUUGUUCGGAAUUACUGGGCAUAAAGCGCACGUAGGUGGUCCGCUAAGUCGCGUGUGAAAUCCCCCGGCUCAACCGGGGAAUUGCGCCUGAUACUGGCGGGCUAGAGGUCGAUAGGGGUGAGCGGAACUCCAGGUGGAGCGGUGAAAUGCGUAGAUAUCUGGAGGAACACCGGUGGCGAAAGCGGCUCACUGGAUCGAAACUGACGCUGAGGUGCGAAAGCUAGGGUAGCAAACGGG